Nicotiana tabacum (common tobacco) is the source of this 1028-nucleotide long non-coding RNA. RefSeq lists it as uncharacterized. The record is from RefSeq and is a predicted model, not a curated record. Lineage: Eukaryota; Viridiplantae; Streptophyta; Magnoliopsida; Solanales; Solanaceae.
CUUCAACCAAGGAAUAACAAUAACACUUUCAAGUAAUAAGAGAGCUCCUUGUAUGAAUCAGGCAGCAAGAGUUGAAGGUCACGCUACUGGAUGUGAAGAUUGGAAGGAAUAUGGAUAUCCAUAGAGUGAAUGUUUUAAAGUUUCCCAUCUUAAAAAAUUCCUAGUUAUCUUAAAACUGACACUUGUAAAAUAUCAGCAGCUACAUGCUUUCUUCUGUGCUUACAGAAUCAAACCUGAUUUUGAUUUUCUUCACAAGAUACUUUCCUGUAGUUCUAGAAGUAUAAGAAAAAUUCCGCAAAAGAGUGUAAAUAGGGACCUGCACGGUAGACUUAUCAACAAAAGAAAGACCUGCCAAGUAGUUGCUUUAAGAGGAACUUGAGAUAUCAAAAGAACUAAACUAUCAACACUCCACCUACUACACUAUCUGAAUAUUGUAGUUACUUUUUUUAGUCGGUCUGAUGUAUUCACAACGGGAUCCAGCAUUCAUCCGUCCUGUUUCGCGGAGCAUUUUUAUAUGCCUUGUUAGAUGGUAGGAUGUGCAUUGUGAUUCAGCCUGGCUUUAGAACAAGUAAGAAGCUUCUGAAUAUGUGUAAUCUUUUUAAUAUGCUACAGGCUUGUUCAAUAGCGAACGAAUGCAACUGAACAUCAAGAACUCAAUCAAGUAUCUUUGCCAUUGAUUACGUGGGUGCAACUAUUGCCAUCAGAUGUUGGAAGUAGGAUACAAGUAGCUCAUCAAGGUACUUUGGGGUCACGCUCAUGCUUGUACUGAUGAUGUCCUUUGGUCAUUACAAAAAGGAAAAAAAAAGGAAUUGUGAUUAAAUCUUGAAGACACUUACUAAAUUAUCUAUUUUGCAUAGGUAGUAAAUUUUCUAUUCAGACUAGCCUGCCAUUGAAUCCACAUAGCCAUCAAAGAUGUAAUAUUGCAAAUGCCAAGGGUUAAGUUUGAAGGGAGCAAAGAAGAAAGGAUAUUCAUGGGACGAAGUGUGCCAGGAACUUAACAUAAUAUGAUAUUCAGUGUCUUUAUCUCA